Non-coding RNA from Podarcis lilfordi (Lilford's wall lizard), 598 nucleotides. The record is from the annotation of a GenBank genome assembly. Lineage: Eukaryota; Metazoa; Chordata; Lepidosauria; Squamata; Lacertidae.
GGAGGAUAGACAGUAUUUGGGUCUCGAGGGAAUUGGUACAGAAUUUAAUUAAGUCUGAAAUUUGGCCUCGAACUUUAUCUGAUCAUAGUGCGGUUUCCAUGGAGUUAAAAGGUAGAGAGGUUAAAACAGCCAGAUGGAGAAUGAAUGAAUAUUUAUUCAAUGAUCAAAGGAUAGUAAAUAAGGCUAUAGAAACAAUUGAAGAAUACUUUAGGUGGAAUUUAAAUGGAGAAACUUCCAUAGAGAUGGUGUGGGACGCAGGAAAAGCGGUCAUGAGGGGUUUUUUGAUUCAGAAAAAUACCCAAUUAAGAAAAGAAAAAGAAAAAAAGAAAGAGCAGAUUUUAAUACAGAUUAUGGAAAAUGAAAGAAAAUUAACUGUUAACCCUAGUGAAGAGAGUUUAAAACAGAACUUAAAAAUACUACAAGCUAAAUUUGCUACAAUAAUUAACCAAGAGAUAGAGUGGAAAAUUAAAAGGAUGAAUCAAAAGAACUUUGAGUCCGCAAAUAAGAUAGGGAAAUAUCUAGCGUGGCAGUUGAGAGAAAGGAAGAAGUUGAAUACGAUCAGUAAAAUAAAAGAAGGAGAUAUGAUUAUGGAAGAACC